Molecule: non-coding RNA, 73 nt
Organism: Paramuricea clavata
Lineage: Eukaryota; Metazoa; Cnidaria; Anthozoa; Malacalcyonacea; Plexauridae
Source: the annotation of a GenBank genome assembly
GACCGCGUAGCUCAGUUGGCAGAGCAUUGGGCUAGUAUUCCACAGGACGUAGGUUCGAUUCCCACCGCGGCCG